CCCGCUACUCACUGCUCCUAAAAAGAGUUAGAGGAGUGGCUGAAAGAUAGGUCAAUUUCAGGAGGAGAGGUGUCCUGAUACCCUCCUCUUGAAAGAGUUCAAGUCGUAGGCAGGAGGAAAUACAGAUGAAGGAAGAUUGUUCCAGAGUUUACCAGCGUGAGGGAUGAAAGAGUGAAGAUGCUGGUUAACUCUUGCAUAAGGGGUUUGGACAGUAUAGGGAUGAAAGAGUGAAGAUGCUGGUUAACUCUUGCAUAAGGGAUUUGGACAGUAUAGGGAUGAAAGAGUGAAGAUGCUGGUUAACUCUUGCAUAAGGGUUUUGGCCAGUAUAGGGAUGAAAAAGUGAAGAUGCUGGUUAACUCUUGCAUAAGGGGUUUGGACAGUAUAGGGAUGAAAGAGUGAAGAUGCUGGUUAACUCUUGCAUAAGGGAUUUGGACAGUAUAGGGAUGAAAGAGUGAAGAUGCUGGUUAACUCUUGCAUAAGGGGUUUGGACAGUAUAGGGAUGAAAGAGUGAAGAUGCUGGUUAACUCUUGCAUAAGGGAUUUGGACAGUAUAGGGAUGAAAGAGUGAAGAUGCUGGUUAACUCUUGCAUAAGGGGUUUGGACAGUAUAGGGAUGAAAGAGUGAAGAUGCUGGUUAACUCUUGCGUAAGGGGUUUGGACAGUAUAGGGAUGAAAGAGUGAAGAUGCUGGUUAACUCUUGCAUAAGGGGUUUGGACAGUAUAGGGAUGAAAGAGUGAAGAUGCUGGUUAACUCUUGCGUAAGGCUUCCUAGGAGUGUGAGGCAUUUCCAGGGGUAGUUAUCUGAGCCUGGUGGUUGUUUGACCCUUCCUGUACUGUGAACCUGUACCUGAACCUAAGAAAACACUCAUUACAACCCGACCGAUCUCCUUUUUGGCAUUUGGAAAUAUUUGGUGUGAGAAGCGGAACCGUGGCGCAGAUUCUAGAUGCUUCGGCGGGGCGGAGAUAGACACGUGGCAGAGAGCUCUUUGGGUAGUUGGCGGUGAGAGGAGGAGGAGGAAGGGGUUGGUAGUGAUGUACCCGGGAGGAAGGAGGGGCGUUGGUGAGGGCGCCCAGACAACCCGGCAGACCCAUAUUCUCGGACCUUUCAGCGCCUUAGUAUAUCCAUUUAAAGAGGCUCUCGUAGAAGUUUUAGGGAUUGCCAAGGGGGGCGCAAGAUCUCCAGUGGUAGUUUUGCAAGAUUUCUACGCCACGAACAGGCAAAACACUCUUGUGAACCCGAUAGAUCUUUUAUAUGGCCUUCAAAAGUUGAUUGAGGGCAAGAACCCUGUUGGCAAGGAGGGAGGGACCUUGACACUGCUGCAUGCUAACAGGGAAGGAGGGGCUCACAAAGGCUCACUUGUUUUAGGGAGACGAAAAGUGGGAAAGAAAAUGUUGAAAAAUGUCCGAAAAGGUGAAAAAAUGUGCCACAAAAUGCCUGCAAUCAAGCAAAGUGUGAAGAAUUGUCAAAAGUAUAAAAUAUAUUAAAAAAGAGAUGGAGGAAAAGUUAAAAAAAUGUGCAAAAAUGUAUGGAAAGUGAUUUUUUUUAAAUAUACGAAGUUAAAAAUAUGAAAAAAAGUUACAAAAAUUCCUGACCAGAUGCCUGCCGGUACAAACCAGCUGAUGCAAAAUAACUUCAUCUUUUCUGUCCUGCCCUGCCACACGUAGGUUACUAGUAGUAGGGGCAGUAAACAGACACCCUCGCCAUAGACUGAUAGGUCUUCUGGUGUCUGUUCUUCCUAUGUAUUCCUAUGUAAAUAACCCAAUUGGCUUCCACAAGUGCCUCGAUCCUUGGCCAGCUUGAAGAGUUCUGCGUCCAGGCCGAGACGGUGAGCCUGGUGACUGUCCAGGAGGCAGACAGGGACAGACAGGGACAGACAGGGACGCAGUUUGGAGGCUGCUCCGGAAAAGGUCGAAAGGAAGAACCAAAGGAAGGAAGGAAGACCAUCUCAGAAGACCCCAGAGUCAGCCCCUACAGUCCAUCAUAGUCCAAGAAAUAGCUGAAGGAAGUCUCAAGUCCAAGCGACCUUCCUUUGUUUCUGAUUCAAGUCGUCUUUACCUUCAGCGAGGGGGCAAAGCGACCAUGGACCUCUCCCUUCCCUUCCUUUUCUUUCCCUUCCCUUCCUUUCCCUUCCCUUUCCUUCCCUUCCCUUCCCUUCCCUUCCCUUCCCUUCCCUUCCUUCCUUUCCCUUCCCUUUCCUUCCCUUCCUUCCUUCCUUCCUUCCUUUCCCCUCCCUUCCUUCCCUUUCCUUCCCUUCCUGUCCCUUCCCCUCCCUGUCAUCAGCCACACUGUGUCUGCCAUCCAUGUCUUGCAGCAGGCCAGCCAUUCUGACUUCCUCUUCUUCCUUCCAAGCAAGCAGUCACUCUCCUCCUCAGCACAUGACCCAGAAGCUUCACUUGUCCUAUGCUUUUCAUCAAGUGCCUGGCUGUCUGCUGCUGCUCUUUGUCAUAGAGUUAAGUUGUCAUUAUCUUAGUUAGUUAGUUAGAGGUCCAGAUAAUUGUUGUAAGGGCAAGACUCCUGUCCCUCCCUCUCCUUCCCUCCCUUCCUCUCCCUCUCCCCCAAGUUCCCAGUCUGUGGAGGUCCAGAUAAUUGUUGUAUGGGCAAGACUCCUUCCCUCCCUUCCUCUCCCUCUCCCCCAAGUUCCCAGUCUGCAGAGGUCCAGAUAAUUGUUGUAAGGGCAAGACUCCUGUCCCUCCCUCUCCUUCCCUCCCUUCCUCUCCCUCUCCCCCAAGUUCCCAGUCUGCAGAGGUCCGGAUAAUUGUUGUAAGGGCAAGACUCCUGUCCCUCCCUCUCCUUCCCUCCCUUCCUCUCCCUCUCCCCCAAGUUCCCAGUCUGCAGAGGUCCAGAUAAUUGUUGUAAGGGCAAGACUCCUGUCCCUCACUCUCCUUCCCUCCCUUCCUCUCCCUCUCCCCCAAGUUCCCAGUCUGUGGAGGUCCAGAUAAUUGUUGUAUGGGCAAGACUCCUGUCCCUCCCUCUCCUUCCCUCCCUUCCUCUCCACCUGUCCCCAAGUUCCCAGUCUGCAGAGGUCCAGAUAAUUGUUGUAUGGGCAAGACUCCUGUCCCUUCCUCUCCCUUCCUUUCCAGUCUUUCUCUCUUGUUCCA
Molecule: long non-coding RNA, 3096 nt
Organism: Eriocheir sinensis (Chinese mitten crab)
Lineage: Eukaryota; Metazoa; Arthropoda; Malacostraca; Decapoda; Varunidae
Exons: 4
Source: RefSeq, a predicted model, not a curated record